This 468-nucleotide ribosomal RNA is filed under the name uncultured bacterium. RNAcentral describes it as "partial 16S ribosomal RNA". It matches the Rfam family "Bacterial small subunit ribosomal RNA", at positions 28 to 507 of the family's 1533-position model. The record is from RNAcentral.
GACGAACGCUGGCGGCGUGCUUAACACAUGCAAGUCGAACGGAAAGGCCCUGCUUUUGUGGGGUGCUCGAGUGGCGAACGGGUGAGUAACACGUGAGUAACCGGCCCUGACCUUGGGGUAAACUUCGGGAAACUGGGCCAAUACCCGGAUAGGAGCUCUGGCGCCUUGGGGGGGGUGGGAAAGUUUCGGCGGUUGGGGAUGGACUCGCGGCUUAUCAGCUUGUUGGUGGGGUAGUGGCUUACCAAGGCUUUGACGGGUAGCCGGCCUGAGAGGGUGACCGGCCACAUUGGGACUGAGAUACGGCCCAGACUCCUACGGGAGGCAGCAGUGGGGAAUAUUGCACAAUGGGCGGAAGCCUGAUGCAGCAACGCCGCGUGCGGGAUGACGGCCUUCGGGUUGUAAACCGCUUUCGCCUGUGACGAAGCGUGAGUGACGGUAAUGGGUAAAGAAGCACCGGCUAACUACGUG